Molecule: long non-coding RNA, 11371 nt
Organism: Physeter macrocephalus (sperm whale)
Lineage: Eukaryota; Metazoa; Chordata; Mammalia; Artiodactyla; Physeteridae
Exons: 16
Source: RefSeq, a predicted model, not a curated record
GUGUGAAGGAGACCCCAGUUGAGGCAGAACAUUGCAGGUAAAGAAGGGGAAGAAGAGGCCGAGAAGUCGAGGGCCAGACUGUGAAGGAGAAUAAAGGAGGUCAAAGAGAGGUCAUAUCGUCGUACCUCACUUCCUGACACAAACAAGUUUUUACUGUUGUCAGCAACAAAGCCCUAAUAUAGCUGCGGAAGAGAAAAACUGCAUUGCAUUUGCCUCCUGCAAGCAUCAUCAACACGGUUACCGGAGGAAUGUAAUUCCAGAAAAGCUUUAAAGCUGGUGUGAUGGUAAUUAUGUAUCAAAUGCCUGAUUCUAUUUCUUGUUAUUAUUUUGUCAUUUCUGAUCUACUCAAGAGCAGGCUGAACUUGCAGAGGGACAAAUCCAGUUUUUCUUUUUCCCUUGGUAAAAUUUAAUCGGACCUGAUACAAAACUCAUUGCUCUUGGGGAAAAUAAAGUAGGAGCCGCGAAAUGUAAUUUUAACAGAGCGUGGGUUUUGUGACUGUAGGAAAGGAUUUAAGGACGCGCCUUCUGUUCGGUUUCCUAUGUAAUGAGCAAAGGCUACACGCACGCACAGACGCCACAGCUCCCGGAUGCUGUGGCUCACUUAUCUGGGCUUCUGCAGCACCAGAAGCCCCUCCGGGAUGCUGCGAGGGGCUCUCGGUGGGUGGUGGUACAAACGCUGCGGCCGCUGCCGCCAGUCCUGCCGCUGCUGUUGUUGCUGCUGCAGUCACGUGGGAGGCCCUUUAAGUUUCCAUAGAGAGGCCUCUCCGGUGUCACAUGAUGGACAUGAUAUAAUGAAACAACAUUGUGGAGAGGAAAGCAUUAGGGGAGCCCACGGCUACAAAAACAAGUGAGUGAGAAGAGGUGGGAGGAAGAGAAACUACGCCACCUCCCCUGCAGCCGAGCCGCACGCAGCAGCAGCCCGCGGCAAGUGGGCGACGCCGGGGGGGAAGGGAGACCCGGUCCCCAGCCCCGGCCCGGGGACCCCGCUGCCCACCGCCAAGAGAACAACUUUUAGCCGGCAGCCUCGGCCAGCACUGCACCUGUCUCCGGAGCCUCCAUCGCUCCUCGUGAUGAUCAAAGGGGCAUUCUAGAAGAAUAUGUUCUACAAAUAUACAUGCGCAUCAUUUUCCCCCUUGCGUCUCGCUCCGGAGGAAGGAAAGAGAAAGGGAUUUAAGUAGCGGCGUGUGUUCAGCCCCAAGCUUGCCUUUCUUCAGAGAGAGUCUGAGGCAACCCUACAGCAAAAAUACAUAAAAUGAAAAAGCAUAUAAGAGAAAGUCAGAACUAAGAAAAAGUGUGAAAAGAGUUGGGAUAUUUUAUCAUCUGGAGUUUCUCUGCCUCGCUGAUGAUCUAAGCUCAAACCUGCCAGUUUAUGGGAGAUGAUAGAAAACACCCUCUAACAUCUGAGUUGCAAAAAUAUCUGCCUCUAAGAACUCAGGAGGACCUGCUUUGUGGGAGCAAAGGUAGUGAGUCAUACCUGCAAGCUUGGAAACGAGUGUUCACUUGCGCCUCUUCAUCCAGUCGGGACGUUUCCUCGGCAACCAUUUAUGCAGCAGUUAAAAGAUGAGUUAAGAGCGCUGGCAAACAUCUUCACAUCUUCACCUUUUUUAUGGGGCACAAGAAAGCACCUUUAAUGGUGGGUGAAUACACAGGCUGCUUCGGACCAGGGAGCCUGGAUUUGGGACACCUGCUGUUUACAGGCAUUGUUUGGGAACACCAGCUGCCUCCCCCCCUUGACCCCGUACCUGGAGACCUUGGGACCUGUGGGAAGCUGCAGAAGUUCCCCAAAACUCAGAGAGGAGAAGGCACUGGGCCUGUGGGAAGCUGAGUUUGACUCUGUCCUCUCCCCUGCAAAAAGGUACCUUCCCAGCAAAUGAUGUGGGAAAAACGAGUGUGUUGAGGUGACCCAGAGGGUUUAAGGCAGUUCUGCUCAUUCUGGCACAACUAGGAACAAGCACGGUUAAAGGUAACAUGUGAAGUGUCCUUUCCAGCUUAGCCUGUCGUGCAUCUGGCACCACCAUUCAGUUGUUGAGGGCAUCAAGAAAUUACAUAAAGAGAUGAGAACAUUGACUCAUUAAUGUGUUCUUUCAAACAGGAAUUUGUAAGAUCUUAAGGUCUUGAGACUGGCCACACUCUUCUCAGUUGAAAAUGCCAUUGUCUCAGCUGUUCAAGAACCAGAUGUUGGAAACCUAAUAGUACAGAUUCUAGGGCACCUGCUGAGCUAAGUGAAUGGAGUAGAGAGAUGCACAAAGUAGAAGGAAUUUUUCAUUCUUCCCUGUGUCCUUCUGUUAUGGACUGUAUGUUUGUGUCCCCCAGAUUCAUAUAUUGAAGGCCUAAUAACCUCCAGUGUUCGGUAUUCAAAGGCGGGGCCUUGGGGAGAUAACAGGUUUAGAGAGUGGUGUCCCCAUGAGGGAUUAGCUUGCUUGUAAGAAGAGGACGACCAGAGCUUGCUCCCCCCACCCUCACUCCCCCGUGAGGACACAGUGAAAAGGGGGCCGUCCCGGAGCCAGGAAGAGAGCGCUCACCAGAGCCCGACCAUCUGGCACCCUCACAUUGGACCUAACAGCCUCCAGAACUGACUUCCCUGGUGGCACAGUGGUUAAGAAUCCACCUGCCGAUGCAGGGGACACGGAUUUGAUCCCUGGUCCGGGAAGAUCCCACGUGCCACGGAGCAGCUAAGCCCGUGCGCCACAACUACUGAGCCUGCGCUCUAGAUCCUGUGAGCCACAACUACUGAGCCCAUGUGCCGCAACUACUGAAGCCCGCAUGCCUAGAGCCCGUACUCUGCAACAAAAGCCACCUCAAUGAGAUGCCCGCGCACCGCAACGAAAAGGAGCCCACGUUCGCCGCAACUAGAGAAAGCCUGUGUGCUGCGAUGAAGACCCGAUGCAGCCAUCAAUAAAUAAGAGAAAAUGGAAGAAACGGAGGUACUUUUAAUGGAAUAGAAUAAACCACUGAACAGGGAAGGAAGAAAGGAUGGAGUUUGAACUGAUUUGCUGGGAAUCAUGUUCAGAAUGCAUCCAGGAUAUCGAAGUGUAAAAGAGUGCCUUGAUUUUCCCACUGAGAAAAAUGAGGAGGCUGCGAUAUACCUGUGGACAGGAUCAGAAGCUUUACUUCUCAGCUCAGAACUUGCCAUGUCUCUUUCCGGCUCAGGAAGUAUGAUGCUCCACACAGACAGGCGUCGAUGUACGAGAAAGUUAAUGGUGCAGAAUGCUGCUGCCUGCGUGGUUCUCGUCUUAAUACAUUUUCCAGCCUUGAACCUGAGAAUGCCAGAGGCUCAAGUCUCUGAAUGCUCGUCUGAGCCAUUAUCUGCUGGUGGCCUGGUUCCUGAGCUAACAAGUGGGUGUCCCAGGCGUGCGUGUGGUAAUAGCAGCAGUGGUGCCACGUGGCGCCCAGAGGUCGCCUUGGUCUGUCCUGGAGAUUCCUGGUCCUCGGUGAAGCUUCUGAGUUGAACUGUGAACUUGGGGCAUCCUGAGAAGCGCAGGCAUUUUGGAGUUCCACAGCAAACCUGGAUGUUAAGUGUAAACACAGCUUAUAAAGUGAAAGCAGGGGCCUUGAGGAAGGGAAUUACCCUCAUCUCGUUCCCGACCUGCUUACUGUGCUGGAAAACAAAGUUCCAGUGCCUCGCUCAGAAGAUCCCUGAGGCCCGCUUCUCUGCCCUGGACCGCGUCUUUACCUGUGUUCCUCUCUUUUCCUCGUCCGUUCAUCUGCUGACACCUGUGCAUUCUUAGGAGUCGUCUCAGACAUAAGCUACCUGAAAGGGGAGACUUUAUUUCUCUGUGUCACAGUGUCUGGCAUAUCACUGUUGCUCACCACUAUAGAGGGAAUAAAGGGAGACAGGAUAAAAGCAGGCCAAGACCCAGAUCACCGACUGAUUCCUCUUGGGCAUGAUGGAGCUCGGGAAAGAACUAAGCUGAGCUCCAGGCCCAAGAGCAAAGGCACAGCCAGUCAGUGCGGGCGAAGAGAAGUCCGUCACCUCGCGGAGCUGGCCAGCUAAGCUCUCCUUCCAGCCCGCCGUCCUGCUCCUCACUCAGAAUGCUUCUGUGGAAGAGUCCAGGCUCCAUGGCAGGACCCACCCACCUAUAUUGCACACCUUUUUGAUACGUGCCCUAAGUACCGUCCAGAGUCUAGGUCUCAAGAAUUAUUUGCUGAUGGACUUAAUUACUUAUUUGACAGGUGGCAAGAGCACAUCCUGAAGUGUCAAUUAAGAUCUGUGUUAAAUCAACUGUACUUCAAUUUGUAAAAAAAGAACAGGGAAGGGAAAAAAAUGGCGUGUGUUUCUGACCGUCUGUGGGUAUGAGGCACUGCGCUGGCCUCUGUGGGCCAGCAGAGAGAAGGCAUUGUUCUGUGCCUGCAAGGAGCUGACCGUCUAGCGGUCUAGCUGGGGAGAAGACAGAGCACGCAGGCCACAUUAGGGAACGAGAUAGCAGAUGUGAACGUGUCACAGGCAGUGUGUGAUUACUUGCCAAACAAAGAGCUCAAGAACGUGGUGGGGAUUGAGCAAGAUAAUGUACGUCCAAGUGCCUCAGCCCUUCAGCGCCCGAGCCCAGCCAGCCCUGCCGUCCGCCUCUCUCUCACACCCUGUUGAUCCACUGCAUACGAUGUAGGUACUCGGCCAGUGCAAAGCCCCUCAUGCCCAGGCCCCGGCCCACCUCCCAGCCCUGUGUGCCCCCCAACCCUUCAACCCAAAGCUGCAGAGAUACCGAAGAGAACUCGCCGUCUUAUUUCUGUAGCGCCCACCAUCCUUCCUUGUCCAACCUUGUCCCUCCGUUAAAACCCUCCUUUUCCUUUAAAAUUCAGCCUAGAGUUCUUCCGUAAAGCCUGCUGGGUCUGCAGGCAGAGCUCCUUCCACGUGCUAGGCGGCGAUGCUCGUGUGCUUCUGUCCUGCCAGGGAUGUAAACUCCUGCCGCAGGGACAGUGUCUUUUCCCUUCAUACUCGAAGCACCUGACACGCUGUCUGACGUGGAGCACACGUCCCUUAAGUGUUUGUCGUUGACAGAAAGGACUUAACACAUUGGAAGGACUGCGUAAACAUCGGCUGGCUUUGCACGGUUAAGACGUAAGUGCUGUGAGUACAGGAGAGGGUGACAUGCCCGAGUGGUCCAGGGAGGCUCCGUAGAGCGAGAAGGGAAUAGUGAACUGAACCUUCGCGGUUUUGUACACCUAAAACAGGCAAGGAAUGAGAAGGAUCCCGGGUGGAGUAGCUCAGUGUCUGUGGCUGCUGGCAACCCAACCGGCCUCUCAAAACAGAAAAACAGACCAGAGGGAGGGAGCCCCGCAGAGUGGGGCGGUGGAGGCAUCCGAUUUUAGUUGGAGCAGAGGGUUUACCUAAAGGAAGUCGAGAGAAUGCCCUGGAGGAAGUUUGGACUUAGGUGGAGAAAAGACCUCAAAAGCAAUGGGCUAUCUUGCUGGCAGCGGACGCCCUUUGUUACUUUUGAAAACCAUGGUGACUUGAUCAAAGUGGUGUUGAAAGUGGGAGCUGCCCUGUGGCCCUGACUUUCUUUUAUACUGCAGCCAGAGGCCCAGGUGGUGACCAAGAUGCUUAGCCCCCAGGUGUGAAGCCCCUCUGCUACGCAGAGCCUCACCUGGAAAGGCUCUAUAAACAAAGGUUUUCCUUCUGAUGCUGCCCUUGACCUGGCUCUGAGCUGUUGAUUCUUUGGGUCCAUUCAGCUCUGUCCUGUCCUUCUACCCUCGUGACUGGCAAUGACCUGGAGAGUGGCAGCACCCCUGCAGCAGGUGGCCUCCAGAGCUGAGUCACCGCCCUGGGAACGGUGCCCUGGCAAACCGGGAGCUCUCCACUUCACCCGGCUCUGCAAGGCUCUCAGGGUACCGCCAGAGCUGCGGAGAAAGCUUUAUGCAUCUAGAGUGUCACCGAGCUGAUAGGAAAGUGAAAUAAAGGCAAUUGAAGACCAAAAAGGAAACUGUCCUAAUGGUAGUUUCUAGCUGGUAUCUUUGGCAAAGUACAAAGAGUUUUUCUCACAAGUAUACUUAUGGGCUGUGGUGGUUUUAUUUGAACAUACCAAAAUUAUCCAUUUACGGAUAUCUUUAAGAAUGGAAUGAAGAGGAUUUUAAAACGAUGGUUUAAGAUUCUGUUAGACCUUGUAAAUUAAGAGAGCUUAAGGAAUAAAAUGAUACGAAGAGAUAUCUUAAGCUGUCACUAUUCUCGGAAAUGAGCAAAUGAGGUUUAGGGGUUCUUUAAGUUUUCUUUAUCAAUCAUAGAUACUCUGAUGGCUGUUGUUUUUAAAAAAUUAUGGUGCUUUUAGUUCAUCCCAGAGAAGAUAAAAAUGUAGUGUUGUUCUUGAAAGGAGGGUUGUUUUGUUUUUGUUUUUGAUGUUUUUUUGUUUUGUUUAAGUCUGGCUUGUUUACUACACCAAUGAAUAGAGAUGACCUCAGUCUAAAAAAACAAGUUAACCAUAAUCUCUCUCCCUUGCCUGGCAAAAUAAGCCUUUUUCAAGUAGCAAAAGAAUCGCAAGUCUGAUCACCAAGUCAUCAUUUUAGCUGAUUAGAUUUUACAAAAGGCAAAACAGAAGGCUCUCUACAUUUUCACAACUGAAUAGCUCUUAGGAAAUACUCCCAGCUUACUCAGUUCCUAUAAGGCUGUAACAAGUCUGGUGACAAUUAAUCAGACAGUUGCCUGAAUGCGAAUGCUCUGUGUGGUUAACUGCACUGUGGCCACUGUGAGCUUUCAGAAUCCGAGAAAACAGCAUCAUGUCUCUUGCUUUUUGAGCAUGCACUACUUUAACUUAAAAAAAAAAAAAAAAGCUUCAUUUUUAAAAAUUUCACACAUCGUGUGCCCAGCUAUCUGUUCUCUACAGCUGAAGUGUCCCUGAAGGCAAAAACGCAGUCAUUUUCUUGGGCAAAUUGUCUUGAGCACUGGGUUUUUUCACAUGCUCUGACCACCCUGGGGCAGUUUUCAGCGGGCCGGGGAACUCGCUGCUUAGUUGCCAAAGAUGCUGUGAGCUGUGACCAGGAAGUUGGGUUUUCUCUGUUACUAUCUUGUUUGCUUUCCGUGGGCCACACAAAACUAUGGACGGUCCAAAGUGUUCCCGGUUUCUCGAAGGCAGGAAGAAUUAAUGCAGCUUCUACUAGCAACCAGAGCCAUAUCCUGAUUCCUAAAACCUUUAUGAUCUCAGAUCAAUAAAGGCCAAAUUGAAAUGCAUUUGGAAGUUAGAGGUCAGUUGAUUCUAGAAUCCAUUCCAGUCGAAAGAAUCUCUAGACUCACUGGAUUUGGGCGUGCAGUUUGGAGAGAAGAUUUUAAAAAGAGGGCAGCUUUAUUCUUUGUUUUUUGACCUGUGUUGGACGGGAGAACUAAUCUGCUUUGGGGGUAGAAGUUGCAAAGAAGCCAAUCCCCGCGGCCAUACAGAAAGGUGAAGGAGCAUUCGCCCCGGGCUCGGCACGCCCGCCUGUAAGGAAAGCCGGCAAAGGGCACCAGCCUGACAGGCAAAGGGCACCAGCCUGACAGCGUUGAAGCAUCCGAGCGUCAGAAGGCUCUUGAGAAGCACUCAGGCCCCGAGGAGUUAAAAGGCAGAGACAGCCAGUCAGCAGGUGCCCGCCUGGGCACGGAUUUGUUCAUCCUGCCCUUCGGAAGUCAGAGCCAACCAACAUUCUUCAUGGUUUUGAGUGAUGCAGAGUGUCUCUCUCUUGGCAGGGCCACUUUCCACUCAUGGGCUUACGCCUGAAGCCCCUUAGGUGCAGGCCAGAGUGGAGACCAGCCUCACGCUUCAUGUCACAUCUUAGAGUCAUUUUAGAGCACAAGGGAAACUGUCACAGACAGCUGCUUGUUUCAGAGAUGGGGAGACUGAACCAGGGGCCGCGGUCGGCCGGAGGUCACGGCGCGGGAAGCAGAGGCCGGUGGGAGCCGGGCCGCCCUCCUCUGACCACACAGCUCCUGCCCCAGCGUGGCGGGAGAAGCUGCUGCCCUUGGAUGAUGCUUAGAAAAUGGCUUAGGUCAGAAAGGAGAACCUUAUUUGUACAGAAUGAAACAAAUCAGGUACUUACUUGUGUAGACAGCUUCUGCCCAACCUCCUUUGUCAGCCUGGUGAAUUUAUUAGCUCCUGGGCUUCCAAAAAUAAGAAUAAUAGCAUUUCUGUCUGUGCCGAAAUGGGAGACUUGAUAGACCCCUGUCUCUCUUUUUCUUUUUUUGGAUGAGAAUUAACUUAUUUCACGCUACUUUUUUUUCUUUUUUUUUGCGGUUCGCGGGCCUCUCCCGUUGCUCCAGACACGCAGGCUCAGCGGCCAUGGCUCACGGGCCCAGCCGCUCCGCGGCAUGUGGGAUCUUCCCGGACCGGGGCACGAACGCCGUGUCCCCUGCAUCGGCAGGCGGACUCUCAACCACUGCGCCACCAGGGAAGCCCCAUGCUACUUCUUAAUAAAACAAACGUCGACUCCUUCCCACAGGAGACAGAAUUGAGCAAUGUUCUGAGAGCACACUGCGCUCCUCGGGGCACUGAGUGAAUGUGAUGUUUAGAAGAUGCUCUAGAAGCUUGCACGUGUCUCCUGGGAAUAGAGUGAAGGGCGGUGGAGAUGGGGCAGAGAAGCCGCCGCUGGAGGAGCAGUGACUCACCCUUCCUGCAGGCCGGGCCUCGAGAAGCCCACGGGAAAGGACUCGGUUCCCCGUGAGCCCCGGCGUGAACCAGUGACCCCUGCUGGGCCCACGUGCCACCAUGUCCUCCGACACUCCUCCCACCACUUCCGUGUCCACAAGAGCUGCAGAGAAGGACAUGCCAGGUCCCUAGGUCUCUGCCAGCGGCUUCCCCGAUCCCCUGGGAGGACGAUGUCGCCUGUCUUUGUAUAAGGACAACACCCUGAACCAAGAGAUGGAUAGAGUUACUCAUCUGAGGAGGAAAACCCAGUCAAAGGAAGUUUCCCACCCACGGCCUCGGUGGUGGGGGCGGGGGGAAGGUGCUUGCAGGGUCCUUCCAGGUGGCACGGAGGCAGCUGUUACGGAUCGCUUUGUUGCGUUAACCGCAGGAUGAUUGAGUUAACUAAACAUGUCAGAAGUAUCAAUGAAGCAUGUCCGACAAGAUAUUUUCGUGGGAGGAGCUGUCCCGCAGUGCCAAUAACAGUGCUGAUCUUCUGAACAAAUGCCCCCUGAGGAUUUCUGUGCCUGGAAAAUAUCUGUCUACAGAUUUCUUUGACACCCUAUGUGCCGCUUCUGCUGUUCGGGACGAAAGCUGGUUUCAGUGGUUUGCUCGUGUGCUCAUUGAUGAAACCCUGCACCUCAGAGCCCGUUUAUGUUCAGAGGUCCACAUGGCCAUGUGAAGAUUGGCCGUUACAGUAUCUAUAAAGCACCAAGCAGCAAAGCAUGUUGACUGUCACUGAAAGACUCAACAAAGUAAGCAGAUACCACAUGCUGUCAUCCUGUUUACUUCUGUACGUCCUGGAAAGAGAAUGAACGAGCCCCUGUUAAUUUAUCAACUGGUUUGUUUUUUUUUUUCACUUCCCUACUAGUGAACAAUGCAAUUUUCUUCUCAGUGUUAAUUUGAUAGCCAGUCUGCCCAUGCAGACCGCUUUGCAGAAAACCGACCUCUUGCUGGACGAUUAAACACAAACAGAGGUCCAACUCAAGAUCUCUAAUUCACUGUAUUUUGUUUAAGUCAUUUCACAGUCACCAACUAGAUACCUCAGUUUCGCCCCAAGGGCUUACAGACUUCAGAGAAGUAUACUAUGUGACUGAUCUCUGUGCUAGUAAUUACUCUUUGUCUGCUGAAAAUGCCUUCUCGUGUGAAGAGACAUACAUGGGAAAGAAUAUAUCCACCUUCGUUCUUUGCUGAAUUUUUUGAAAAACAUACUUAAAGGAUAAUACAGAAAACUUACCAUAUCUCUUUGUUUCUGCUCAGGUAACAGAAUGGUAUGGUUGUAUAUGUGUGUGUGUGUGCGUGUGUGUGCGUGUGUGUGCGCGUGUGCGCGCGCGCGCGCGCAUAUAUGUGCAUGUGUGGGUGUGACAUAUUUGAUGUAUAAGAUAUGUAUGAUCUUAUCAGUCAUAAGUAAAAGGAAGAAAUUCACUCUUCAGGGAAACAAGCAAAAAAAACCCCAACAAAACAAAAAAACUUCUAAGUGGCAGUAAGCAAAAGCUGUAACUAGUCAUUUGUAAAAAGUAAGCAGACCUUUUUGUUCUGGAUUUUGAAUUUUUUAACUAAUGAGAACAAUCUGGCUGCAUCUUGCAUACUUCAGUCGUUGUUAUUAUCGAUUACAAUAGCAUAUCCAGAAGGAUACAGGGGACCCCUAAAUUAAUCACAAAAUUCGUGAAAUAGUUAUUUGAGAGUGCCAGUGAUUCUUGGCACUUUUUCAAGUUUAAAUGCUUGACUUUAUUAUCCAGUUGAAAUAUUUAACUGCCUGUCACUUGACAAAAUAUGUGCAUUUGUUUGCAGUUAGUGAGCUACUUUGAUGAAGUUAGUGACUGCUACCCAGUUCUGCAGCCCAUAGUGUUCUAUUUCCUUAUUUAAAGAGAUGAAAAAACUGUCCUAGUAGUGGUAGGCCCGUGCAGUGAUGCUUUUCCAUUGUGAAGGGUGAGUCUGCAUUGGGAUCUCCUAUUGAGGGGUAAGUGGCCAAGCCUGUCAGGGGUAAGAAUGGGAAUCAGACCUGAGCUGAAACCCCUGUCCCUCCUGGCUUAUUAACAUCCUGCUGAACCCACCUGAAAUCCUCAGCCACAGGCACAUUGUAAUUGGCUGUUCUUCCCACAGUCAUUUGAUGUAUGAGGAAAGUUAAAAAGAAAAGCUAAGUUUCUGUUAGUUUAUUUAAGCAAAGAAAGCAGAAUAAGCGAACGGUACAGCCAAGAUUAGAACCAUUCUCACAAGGUGACGCUAUCAUGAUAAAACCAAAAAAGGGUGGGGAAAUGUUUUAGGUUAAAAGAAACCAAAGAGUCUUAAUGAGUGAACCUCAACAGGAGUUGGGGUUGAAAACAAGUCAGCAAAACCACAAAAGAAGUUUUUUUGGAGAAAGUGGGAAAAGUUGGAUAUAGGCUACACGUGAGAUGAUGCUAAGAAAUUGUUAAUUUUCUUAGGUAUGAAUAAGAUAUUGUAACUAUAUAGAAGAAUGGCCUUAUUUUUUUUAGACCUGCUCAAGAAGUUAGGAAAACUGUCAGGAUGGUUCUUGAUUUACUUUCAAAUGAUUCAGCAGAAAGUAUACAUAUGUUGUACAUGUAGAUAACAUCACUAAAGCAAAAGUGGCAAAAAUGAACAGUUAUUGAAUUUAGGUGGAAGAAAUUUAGGAAUACAUUUAUUGUCAUUCAAAGUUAAUGUAUGUCGGGGCUUCCCUGGUGGCACAGUGGUUGCGCGUCCGCCUGCCGAUGCAGGGGAACCGGGUUCGCGCCCCGGUAUGGGAGGAUCCCACAUGCCGCGGAGCGGCUGGGCCCGUGAGCCAUGGCCGCUGAGCC